UGUUGGGGAAAAGACCGCGUGGGGGAGAGGCUCUUGGGUUGUAAACCCCUUUUCUCUGGGAAGAAAGUUGUGAAAGCAGCCUGACGGUACCAGAGGAAUCAGCAUCGGCUAACUCCGUGCCAGCAGCCGCGGUAAGACGGAGGAUGCAAGCGUUAUCCGGAAUGAUUGGGCGUAAAGCGUCCGCAGGUGGCAGUUCAAGUCUGCUGUCAAAGACCGGGGCUUAACUUCGGAAAGGCAGUGGAAACUGAACAGCUAGAGUAUGGUAGGGGCAGAGGGAAUUCCUGGUGUAGCGGUGAAAUGCGUAGAGAUCAGGAAGAACAUC
RNAcentral lists this ribosomal RNA (322 nucleotides) under Lyngbya sp. K10. RNAcentral describes it as "bacterial SSU rRNA". It matches the Rfam family "Bacterial small subunit ribosomal RNA", at positions 384 to 710 of the family's 1533-position model. Lineage: Bacteria; Bacillati; Cyanobacteriota; Cyanophyceae; Oscillatoriales; Microcoleaceae. The record is from RNAcentral.